Molecule: ribosomal RNA, 2511 nt
Filed under: Triticum aestivum (bread wheat)
Lineage: Eukaryota; Viridiplantae; Streptophyta; Magnoliopsida; Poales; Poaceae
Description: partial small subunit ribosomal RNA
Source: RNAcentral
AUGAUCCUCCAGGUACUUCAUGGCAGCGCCGUGGACAACAUCACCAUAACCACAUUGAUGGUCCAAGCCCCAACUCACAACAUCAUUGAUAUUCUGAAACGUCUUACUGGGCUGGAUAUGGCAUUAUGGCUGGGGCGAGUUUGGUGCGCUUCCUUUGUGCUUUGUCCUACUUGGAUCAUAUAUGCUUCUGUAAGAACACUGAUUCAGGUGAGCUGCCACCUCUUCCCACAUGUUCGUGCUAAUUAUCAAUCAAAGGCAACAGGAAGGCACGACGGUGUCCUGAGAGAUAAGUUGAUCAAUGUUGGCCCUCUGAAAGAUUUUUCAUAUGGUUUAAGAGUCAAUGCAGAUGCCAAUGCAACAGGAAAUGCAAAGGAAAGCAAUUAUGAGUUGUACAGUCAUGAGUCAUACCAGGCAAGCAGCGGCGGCGCCGGACUGGUCACCCCCGCGACACCAUUCUUCCUUCAGGCCGAGCCGUCGGGUGCGGCGAGCCGCACUUCCUACCUAGUAAUCAAUAUACAUACCAUCCGCGCCCCAUCCUUCCGUGUCCCGGAACCCAACCCCCAAAUCGCUAGCGCCGCCUCCAUCGUCGUGAUGGAUUCCUCCAAGGUCGAGACUGCCGAGAAGCCCUCCGGCUCGGUGGACCAUCCCUGCGUGGAGCGGCUCCGUCACCGGCGACUCCUCGCCUUCCUACGGGAUCAAGGCUUCCAUGGCGCCUACGCCGAGGUGACGCGGAAGACGGGCGUGCACAUGAGCCUGCGCCACCUGCGCGGCCUCGUGGAGCGGGGCCGCUGGGCGGACGCCAUCGCCUACUUGGAGCUCCACCUGCCGCCGCCGCCCCGCCCGCGGAGCUCCAACGCCGACCUCCUCCACGCCUUCCUCGUCACGCACCGCCGCUUCGCCGACGCCGUCGCCGGCCACGUCGACCCCAGCGCCCUGCCCGGCUCCUACUUCGAGCUGUGCCAUAGCGGAGACGUCGGCCACGGCGAGCUGAGGCUCCGCUCCAUCACCUUCCUCGUGCUCGGCUUCCCCCAUAUCAGGGCCGACAUGGACUGGGAGAGUGUGAGGAGCAAAGCAUCGUUUGUUGUCUGGAGGUUGGCCACAGCUACCCCGGAGCUGCAAGGCCGCAUCUCACUGCCGACCGCCGCGCCGCACCAGCUACUUCCCGUUGCUCCUCCCGGUUUGUCCCGAGGGAGGGGUCACGUCAAGAAUAAGAAACAAGAAGGCUCCCGGCCGCGACCAAAAGCUAUCAUCAGGGCCAUGAAGAGCCACCUCAUUGCGCCUGCGGAUAAAGAUAAAGUGUCUGAUGAAAAAGCACGUGAAUCGCUGGCGGAUAUCCUUGAUGAAACUUUAAAGGCUGGCAUAAUUCCCAUGGCACGUUAUCCAGUAGGGAACCAAGAUGAUGGCCUCGUUCGCCCGCAGCAACCGCGCGCGCACCUCGCCCCAACCUGCCCAACCGCUGCCAGCCCAACCACGGCCAUGUCGACGGCACUGGAUUCCACGGCGGCCCACAGCCCCCACCUCUCUCAGUCGCUAGCCAAGCUAGCCGGCCAGCAGAUUACAAGCUCGUGCUCGUGCUGCAGCUCGAGCGGGAGCUGGGGAUGGGCCUGGGUGGACGGGGCAAAACGGCGUCGCUACUCCGGCGAGCUUCCCUCCGCCGCCCGUCUGGCCCUUCUCUCCUCCUCCUACCUCCUCCCUCCCGAGCUGCGCUCCACCAUAAACGCCGACGCCCUGCUCCCAGCCUCUGCACAGUCCACAAGCUUGCACAGGUGCUGGGGCGACGAGCCCGUGGCGGAGCAGUGGCGGCAUGAUGUACCACGGUCAUCCGCCACCGCGAAGAGCUCGGGGCCGCGCACGCCGCGCUCACCGGCUCGCUCCUGCCCAUCUCCUCCUUGUCUGCGCGUCCGCCCUACCGGGGCUCACGCUCCCUGCCACUACAUCCCGGCGGACGGCAGGGCCAGGGCGCCGCCGUGCCGGUCGAGCUCGAGCUGCUUCGGCAGUAGUGCUGCUGGGGUUGAUUGCUUUUUUUAUUUUAGAUCAGGGGUGUCAAUUCGUCAGCACUUGGCUACCUGCUGCAGGAGUGUCUGGCGCUACACCCUUGCAGUUGCAGAAAGUGUUGUAAGUCCUUGGGAUCUCACCAGCAGAGAUAAAUCCAGAUGCUCCAGGCUGCCAGCACAUAUCUGCUACUUUGACAGCUGCAAAAAUGUUAGGGGCCUCGUCACCGGCAAAUGCAGCAGGUGCUCCAACCUGCCAGCCCAUAUCUGCUAUUUUGGAAGGUGCAAAAAUGUUUGGGACCUCGUCACUGACAAGUGCAGCAGGUGCUCCACCCGGCCAGCCGAUAUCUGCUACUUUGAAAGAAGUAAAAAUGUCUGGGGCCUCGUCACCGACAAACGCAGCAGGGUUUUCACUGGUUCUCACACCAAGAGAAAGGAUACGAGCGAUGAAGCGACUACGACCGUCGAGGAAGUGAAGCGGCAGCGGACCACAGCGGCAUUUGGUGAAGCAAGUCCGUAA